RNAcentral lists this long non-coding RNA (19974 nucleotides) under Triticum aestivum (bread wheat). RNAcentral describes it as "long non-coding RNA (TAES_LNC021835)". The record is from RNAcentral. Lineage: Eukaryota; Viridiplantae; Streptophyta; Magnoliopsida; Poales; Poaceae.
CCGGCGACCUCGGCAUCUCCAUCGAUGAUGGUAAGCCCCUCCUCUGUUCCCUCUGAUGGUAAACUCUGAAUUUGCUUGCUUGCUUUCUUUCUGCAGUAGGCCAAGAAACAAGGAGUGCAUACUUAAUUCAGUUAGUUUUGCAGUAGUUUGGUUGCAGUAGCAGUACUUCAUUCAAGUGAAAAGAUUCAGUUAGUUGUAUCUCUGCAUACUUAAUUCAGUUUGGUUGCAGUAGUUUCUCUCUGAUGGUAGUACUUGUAUCUCUGCAUACUUAAUUAACUGAAUUUGGUUGCAGUAGUUGAUUCAAGUGAAAAGAUUUAGUUAGUUUUGCAGUAGUUUUGCUGGAGUAAUAAGGAAAAGUUGCAGUAGUUUGUCAAUGUUAACCUCGACGUAUCUGCAGUUUCAGUCACUGCUUGCUACUCCUCCUUAUUACUCCUCGGCGCUGGAGUAUUUCGACGUGUCUGGAGUGUUUUGAGUAGCUAAAUAAGUGCAGUUCAUUUGCUUCAGUCGCUGCUUAUUUCUUCAGUAGCUAAAUAAGUUCAGUUUAGUUUAGUUGAAGUGAGCUGCGUUCUCGUUGCCGCCUUGCAUAUUUCAGAGAUCGAGAGUGUAGAUCAAAACAUAGUUGAGCAGUACACAAAUCAAAAUCUACUGGUAAACUCCAUUUCUAAAUCAAGCAUGGCAAGUUUUGUACUCAUGGAGUACUUCUGGUGAAAUCAAAUUCAAAGAACUGUUGGUAAAACUACUGGUAAAAUCAAAUUCAAAAAACUACUGAUGUAAAUAAAAUACAAAGAACUACUGGUAAAAUCAAAAUCAAGAGUUUAACAUGGCAAGUUUUCUCUUCUCUUGUGUAAAUCAAAAUCAAAAGUAAUCUUGCAUUUUCUCUUCUCUUCUUGCUCUCUUCUCUUAUCUUGUCUUCUGAACCUUUCCUUUAAUUAUUAAAUGAAACAUUUCCUUUAAUUAAUUAAAAUGAAACAUUUCCUUUAAUUAAUUAAAUGAAACCUUUCCUUUAGUUAAUUAAAAUGAAACCUAGGAGAACUUAGUCCAUAAAAUUACUCCUAAUUUACUAUCAAAUUACUCCUAGUGUUGACACUGUUGACUCCCUAGUGUUGACACUGACAACAACCAGUCAGGAUGACACUGUGACAACAACAGUUUGGAGUACGCCCAUUUGGUUUAAUUGAAAUGCACAAAAAUUAUGAUGUGAAAGAAGAAGAAGUCAGUUUAUUGAGCACAUUUAGUUAAUGGCUGCUGUCAAAAUUUUUAUGCUCCAUUUAGUGAGCACAUCUGUUAACACUACUCUUGCUUGUUAACUGAAUUACUCCAUUUGUUAACAUCUGUAUUUACAGUAGCAGUUACUGUCGUGGUUCUAAGCCUGACAGUAGAAUAGGGGGUAGGUAUGGAGAGGCAAGAUCCUAGCUAUGGAGUAGUUGUAUACGCAAGAGAUUUACGAGUUCAGGCCCUUCUCGGAGGAAGUAACAGCCCUACGUCUCGGAGCCCGGAGGCGGUCGACUGGAUUAUAUGCGUAUGAGUUACAGGGGUGCGAACCCUUUACACUGAGGAGGGGGUGGCUUAUAUAGAGUCUGCCAGACCCCUCCGGCCCUCAGUUAUGCAGGGUUUAAAGUACAUUAAGGCCUGGCGUUACUGGUAACGCCCUACAUAGAGUGCUAUCAUGGCCAUAAAGACUACUUAAUGACAGACCCUUUUGUGUGCAGAGUGACUCUAGAUCUCCUAGUGGUCGAGUGAGUGGCUUCAUGGUCGAGUGUCUUCGAGUCCAUCGAGUAGAAUCCUUCCAGGUCGACUGAAAGAUAGUUUCUUCUAGAGAUGUCCUUGGGGAGGGUACCUUGGACAGGUCCAUGACCCUACCCUAGGUGUAUGGCUUCAUCAUUAGCCCUCGAAUGGAUCGAGGUUUGAGUGAGGAAGGAGUUGAGAAUUCUCCCGACCCCUUUUUCGUGCUAUGAGUGUGUCUUGUUCUGGAUCAAUGACUUUAAGUGACGACAUCAACUUCUUUUUCAGUCGCCUUGAUCCAUUCUUUGUAUCUGUCGAGUGACUUCUCUGUGCUUGGAGAUUUCCGAGCGAUGGAUCGGAGGAAAUCUCCGGUCUGACAAGUUGCUCUGCUAUUCGCGGAUUUAGCGGGAUCCGAAUUUCGGGAAGCGCGCGAGGUGGAGGAAGCCGCGGUACUCGGAUGGGAUAAGGUAGGAAUGCCUCGAUCUUCGCGCCACCUUUUUCGCCACGUAUCGCGCGCGCGACUGUUGCGGGAUUUGACAGGAUCGCCCGGGCCUACCAGUCAGCCACUCGGAAGCGACUUCAUAUAAGGCGCCGGACAGGGUUUUUUGAACAGUGCGCCCUCAUUUUCCCCUUCCUCUUCCUCAGAUUCACCUGCUGCGUUCGCCACCAUCUCAGCGCUACUGCUCUGUGCCUGCUUCAUCGGUGAUGAUGGUGAAGGAGAAGACGGCGGCUUUGGAGCGGGCGAAGAAGGCGACGGCGAAGGCGAAGGGGAGGGCGACCAGUCGGGGCGGAUCCUCGUCGCGGGCCGGUCUGCCGCAAGGCUGGAUCCAGGGAGACUAGAUCCGCUCGACCAUUCGCCAAAAAGAUCUCGAUGAUCUGGCCAAUGAGGGACUGAUCCCUCAUGGAUCAGCGAGGCUCCCGGUGAAGGAGUGGCCGCCGCAGCCUCAGGAGGGUGAGUGCGCCCUCUUAGCUACCCACGUUGACCGCGGGUUUUCUCUGCCGCCUAGUCCUUUCUUUCGGGGAUUUCUGAACUUCUUUGGGGCACAACUCCACCACUUCACACCCAACUCUAUCGUCUAUCUCGCUGCUUUUGUCUCCUUCUGUGAGAACUUCUUGGGUUGUCGGCCGCAUUGGGGCCUUUUCAAACACAUUUUCACCUGUCGCUCCCAGACGGUGAAAAAGUCUAAUCCGAGUGACGAGAAAACCCAAGUAAUUCAGAUGUGUGGGGGUCUUGGGGUUCAAAUCAGGAGUAAAAGUGCUUUUCUAGCCAUGGUCCUUCCUGAGUCGGUCCGAGGGUGGCAGUCGACCUGGUUCUACUGCCAAGACCAGUCGAUGCCAGGGCAGUCGACUGGACUCCCUCCUUUCUCCAUGCAUCGAGUGAGCAAGCCGUCCUCUCUAAAGGUGGUCCCAGAGGAAAAGGCUCAGGUCAAGGUGUUGGUCGAGCAUGUAGUCCAGCUCAUCUGUGACGGGGUGACUGGCAUGGAUCUUCUGGAGGUUUUUCUUCGACGAUGCAUCUAGCCACUUCAAUAUCGAGGCCAUCCGAUGUGGAUGUACUCUGGCACUGAAGGCACCACUCGGGUCCACCUGGAGGAGGUCGAUGAUGCCACACUGGAGAGGUGGAUGACUGCCAUCACAGGGAACAAGGACAACCCCCGAGGAGCCAGGAGGAUCCCUCCACUCAACCAUUCAUACGAGCCAGACAAGGUCUAAUUAUGAAUCUCCGACUGUGACCUUGAUUCCUUCAUUCCGUUUUGCUAGAAUUCAGUCGAUUGAUUUUUGUCUUAUACCGAGAUGUACUCGAUGCCCAACGGGGCGCAAGAACAGACCAAGGAGGAGGAAGGGAGCGGGGGUGAAAGUCAGGAGGUGUGGGAAUCCGAUGGCGAGGAGGAUGAAGAAGAUGCCGGCUCUGGUGAGGAAGAGGAGGAGGAAGAGGAGGAGGAAGUCGAGCCUCCCCGUACUGAAAGACGAUCCAAGCUCACCCAUGACCCCGCAGUCGAGCGUGGUAAGGCGGCCGUGCCUGUUGGGCAGUUGACUACACGUCCUCGCACGACCUCUCCGGCGCCGACUGAGAAAGCGUCGAAGCAACCCCGAGCAGCAUCAUCAAAACUGACGAAGGCCCUGCCGAAGAUGAGGAUGGUGAUUCCCACUAUUUCCGGGUAAUGGCAGAACUUGUGUUUCUUGUUUAACAUGGAUACACUCUUGGUCGACACGUUGGCUGACCGAUUGAUCUUUGAAAUCGUAGUGCUGCUACUUCUGAGACCUCAGUCAGGCAUGAAGAUCAAGAAAUGGAGGAUGCUGCCACUUCCAACCCUCGUAUGAUCUCUGUAGUUUCGCUUUCGGUCGAUUGGAUCUUCAUUUUUAACUUUAAAUCUUUCCUGUAGCUCCACCUAAUAUCAUUGAUCUCCCUUAUUAUGACGAUGAGGAGCCCCUGAGGCAAAGGAGGAACAAGAAAACGUCUGCUGGCAAGACUGCUCAGGUUGUAUCACCACCCGAGACGCUGGUUCCGGAGGGGGGCAACGUCACUCGGACUACCGUGUCCUUUGUUGUGCCGCUGACGAGUGCUCGCCCUUCGUCGUCGAGUGCUGAUCCGCCUUCCCUUUUCUCCACCCACCACGUCCCAGAGGACCAAGCAGGCGCUGCUAAGGAAGCUAUACGCCAGGCGGGGUCAUGAUGGAGCAGGUGAAGGCGAUCCGAGACGCCAGCCAAGCAGCUUAUGAUGCAAGCUCUGCCCUUCAGAGCAAUGUCCAGGUUAGUUGAUCACCACUUGUUCUGUUAGGAUAUGGUACCUGAAAACUUUUCUUUCUGAAGAUCUUAGUAUCUGUACACCCACUGGGUGUGUCGAUUGAAUAUUUGGAUUGGUGGGGGCACACUGAGUGCACCCACUGGGUGUAGUCCCUGAGACUAUGAUGGACUGCUGGCAGCCGACUAUAGUCUUUAUAGUUUGAACUUUUUCACUUUACUUUCUCCACUCGGUCUGGUCGAAUGGAAUCAUGGAACCAGUGGGGGCACGCUGAGUGCACCCACUGGGUGUAGUCCCCGAGACCAUGGUCGAUUGCUGGCAGUCGACUAUGGUCUGAAGAACUUUUUUUUUGAUGAAACUGUGGCUGACUGCUGGCAGUUAGCUAUGAUUUAGGAUCAUAACCUUUUUGUCUCUUUCGGUCGACUGAUCAAUCCGAGCCGGUAGAACCAGUGGGGGCACGUUGAGUGCACCCACUGGAUGUAGUCCCCGAGACUACAGUUGAAUAUUUUGAUUCGGCUGUAGUCUUAGAAAUGCUACGAUUUUUCUCUUAGUCACUCGGAAGUGACCUAUCUUUGAUGUCUGUCGACUGAUCUUUUGCAGAAAUCUUGCGAGCUUGUGGCUCGUUAUACUGAGUUGGAGAACAAGCAUAUCCAGCUCGAACUUGAUUUGAACCUUGUCCAGGAGAACUUCACGAAGGCGAAGGAGGAGGCAAAAGGUAUGUUUGGUGAGAACCUUGACGACUGCCCUUAUUUGUUGUCCAUUCCUGAGUCUGAUCUCACUGUCACUUUGCAGAUAAACUGAAGGAGGCUCGAAAGAAGAAGGACCUUGACCUCGUCGAGGCGCAGAAAGCGGCUUUGGACAAGACGAAGCUCGCAGAAGAAAAGCUGGCUUCAAUCAGCAAACUUGAAGAGGAGAAUACCAAUCUGAAAGCUGCUCUCAACACGGCCAACAAGGAGGUCAGUCGACUGAAGAAUGACAAACCCUAAACCCUGAGUGACAAGGCUAGCGAAUUGAUGGGGAAGAAGAACAAUCUGGAGUCUUAUCUGGAAGGGCUCGCCAAGAAGUUAUUCCUCAUGCUUGAAGGUAAUCUCUUCUAUCCGACUGACUUGUUAUCGUCGACUCGUCAUAGAACUGUUGGCUUAACUUCAAACUGUGCUUACAAAAUUCUGUCAAAACUUCAGGGAGGAGACCAGUCGACUGGAGCCAAACUUGGAUCCCGUUAACUCUCCUGUGAAGGACGAGGCUGCUAUGAACGUGUUCCGACUGGAAUCUCGUGUUGCUGGAGUGGUUGACUACCUCGCCCGACUGAAGGUUGCGGUGUCGCGGAUCGACACGACACUCUGGCCAAGAGAGACGCUUCACAAUGACCUCGAGUCUUUAAUGACUCGACUGAAUGACGUUCCAGGUCGAGUGCAGGAAUGGAAGAAGUCCUCCGCCAGGUGUGGUGCUGAAGUUGCUCUGUCCCUGGUACGUGUUCACCGCAAGGAUGCUUGAGAGGACAAGCUGGGGUCCAUCAGAGUGGCCAAUACCAAGAAGCAUGACUUCCAAUCUUUCAUGGAGACCUUCAUUGCAGCUGCCACUCGGAUUGCUGAUGGAAUCGACCUGGACCAAUUUGUCACGCCUUCCAGUCCUCCACCGGAGGAGUAAAAAACUUCUAUGCUUCACCUUAAAUUUGCCUCGGUAUGCCGAGUGGUUUUUGUAACCGAUAAACUUUUACGGGCUUGACGCCUGCGCACUUCUGAAUCAGUUAUCUGAACUUUGCUUAUCGUUGAAUAUGCUUGCAUUUGCCUUCGAGCGAAUUUUCUUCUUCACUCGGAAUAUAUUCUAAUGCUUGAGACGCAGCUCUAAGGUGGUAAGUCCAGUUGACCUGCACCUCGUCAUCCUUGUAGAGCGGAAUAGAUUAAGAACUUAGGCGAGCACUGGGCUGUACCUAAGCCUUCGAGUGGGAGGCUUUCUCUCCACUCAGUAGGGUUUUCAGAUACUUAGGCGAGCACUGGGCUGCAGCUAAGCCCCCGAGUGGGAGGUUUGCUCUCCACUCGGUAGGAUUUUCAAACACUUAGGCGAGCACUGGGCUGCAGCUAAGCCCCCGAGUGGGAGGUUUGCUCUCCACUCGGUAGGAUUUUCAAAAACUUAGGUGAGCACUGGGCUGUAGCUAAGCCCCCGAGUGGGAGGUUUGCUCUCCACUCGGUAGGAUUUUCAAACACUUAGGCAAGCACUGGGCUGCAGCUAAGCCCCCGAAUGGGAGGUUUGCUCUCCACUCGGUAGGAUUUUCAAAAACUUAGGCGAGCACUGGGCUGCAGCUAAGCCCCCGAGUGGGAGGUUUGCUCUCCACUCGGCAGGAUUUUCAAACACUUAGGUGAGCACUAGGCUGCAGCUAAGCCCCCGAGUGGGAGGUUUGCUCUCCACUCGGUAGGUUUUUUUGUGGCGUAGCUCCGAAGGAGAAGGUAACAGUCGACCUGCACCUUGUCCUCCUUGCGGAGCGCACAUUGUAUUUGUGGCGUAGCUCGGAAGGAGAAGGUAGCAGUCGACCUGCACCUCGUCCUUCUUGUGGAGCGCACAUUGUAUUUGUGGCGUAGCUCGGAAGGAGAAUGUAGCAGUCGACCUGCACCUCGUCCUUCUUGCGGAGCGCACAUUGUAUUUGUGGCGUAGCUCGGAAGGAGAAGGUAGCAGUCGACCUGCACCUCGUCCUCCUUGUGGAGUGCACAUUGUAUUUGUGGCGUAGCUCGGAAGGAGAAGGUAGCAGUCGACCUGCACCUUGUCCUCCUUGCGGAAUGCACAUUGUAUUUAGUACUUAGGUGAGCACGGGGCUGCAGCUAAGCCCCCGAUUGGGAGGUUUGCUCUCCACUCGGUAGGAUUUUCAGAUACUUAGGCGAGUACUUGGACUGCAGCUAAGCCUCCGAGUGGGAGGCUGGCUCACCACUCGGUAGGAUUUCAUACACUUAGGCGAGUACUUGGACUGCAGCUAAGCCUCCGAGUGGGAUGCUGGCUCACCACUUGGUAGGAUUUUCAGAUACUUAGGCGAGUACUUGGACUGCAGCUAAGCCUCCGAGCGGGAGGCUGGCUCACCACUCGGUAGGAUUUUAAAGUACUUAGGCGAAACGGAUUCGCAGCUAAGCCCCCGAGUGGGAGGCUGGCUCACCACUCGGCAAGGAUUUUUUUUUACAAACUUAGGCGAAACGGAUUCGUAGCUAAGCCACCCACUGGGGGAUUUCUCAUGUAAACAAAAGUAACAACAGUCACUGGGAAAAUUAUAACACUCUUGUCUUUGAUAAAUAAACUACAGAAGUACUUUUAUUACAUCUCAUCCGAGUGAAUACUUAAGUAUAAAAGGGGCGGAGCAGCUCCGCGUUCCAAGCUCGGGGCUCGUCAAUCUGGUGACCGACAUUGUAAAGGCGGUAUGCUCCAUUGUGGAGAACUUUGGUGACGAUGAAGGGACCUUCCCAAGUAGGAGCAAGCUUGUGUGGCUUCUACUGAUCCACUCGGAGAACCAGAUCUCCUUCUUGGAAGGCUCGGCUCUUCACGUUUCUGGCAUGGAAGCGACGUAAGUCCUGUUGAUAGAUGGUCGAUCGGAUCAUGGCCAUCUCUCUUUCUUCUUCUAGAAGGUUGACUGCGUCCUGUCGGGCUUGCUCUGCUUCAUCCUCAGUGUAGAGUUCGACUCGGGGUGCAUUGUGAAGCAGGUCACUCGGCAAGACUGCUUCAGCUCAAUAGACCAAGAAGAACGGAGUUCUCCUAGUCGACCGAUUAGGAGUGUUCCUUAAUCCCCAAAGUACUGACGGGAGUUCAUCGACCCAUGCACAUGUCGCGUGCUUGAGAUCGCGCAUCAGUCGGGGUUUCAGUCCUUUGAGAAUUAGACCAUUUGCUCGUUCGGCUUGUCCAUUCGACUGGGGGUGAGCGACUGAAGCAUAGUCGACCCGUGUGCCUUGAGAUGCGCAAAAGGCUCUGAAUUCUUCAGAAUCGAAGUUUGACCCAUUAUCAGUGAUGAUGCUAUGCGGAACUCCAUAUCUGAAUAUCAACUCUCUGAUGAAGCUGAUAGCAGUGCUAGCAUCCAGAUUCUUUAUAGGCUUAGCUUCAAUCCAUUUGGUAAACUUGUCGACUGCUACUAGCAAGUGAGUGAAGCUGCUCCUGCCAGUUCUCAAUGGUCCAACCAUAUCUAACCCCCAAACAGCGAAGGGCCAGACAAGUGGAAUGGUCUUCAAGGCCGAGGCGGGUUUGUGCGAUAGAUUGGAGUAAAACUGACAUCCUUCACACUUGUCGACUAUCUCCUUUGCCAUUUCAUUUGCUCUUGGCCAAUAAAAUCCCGCUCGGUAUGCUUUAGCCACAAUGGUCCGAGAGGACGCAUGAUGGCCACAGGUCCCCGAGUGGAUAUCGUCAAAGAUUAUCCGACCUUCUUCUGGCGUUAUACAUUUCUGACCGACUCCAGUCGCACUUUCUCUGAACAACUGUCCCUUUAUCACGGUAAAGGCUUUGGAUCGACGGACGAUCUGUCGAGCCUCUUCUUCAUUCUCUGGGAGCUCUUUCCUUAAGAUAUACGCGAUGUACGACUCUGUCCAGUCGGGAGUGAUGACCAAAGCUUCCAUGAUUAGGUCGACCACCGCUGGGACUUCAACUUCAGUCGGAUCUGUGACACUUUUUGGCUAUGGAGCUUCUUCGGUGAAAGGAUCCUCUUGAACUGAUGGAGUAUGGAUGUGUUUCAAAAACACAUUACUGGGAAUGGCUUCUCUCUUGGAACCUAUCUUCGCCAAAGCCGCUUGAUUUUUCAGUCGGGGUAUAUGAUGGAGCUCUAACCCUUCAAAUUUCUUCUCAAGCUUUCUCACUGCAUUGCAGUAACCAGUCAUAGCUGGGAUUCUGACGUCCCACUCCUUCAUCACCUGAUUGACCACCAAAUCUGAGUCGCCAUAAACCAUAAGGUGACGGACGCCGAGUGAAAUGGCCAUAUGCAACCCAUACAAAAGUGCUUUGUAUUCUGCUUCAUUGUUGGAGGAAUCAAAGUGGAUCUGGAGCACAUAUCUGAGCUUAUCUCCUCGAGGGGAAACCAACACUACCCCAGCACCGGAACCAUUCAGCAUCUUAGAACCAUCAAAGAACAUGGUCCAUUGCUCCAAGUGAACUUGAGUCGGUAGCUGCUGUUCAAUCCACUCGGCGAUGAAAUCUGCUACAGCUUGGGACUUGAUGGCUUUCUUUGCCUCAAACUCGAUAUCAAGGGGAAGGAGUUCAAUCGCCCAUUUUGCCACUCGACCAGUUGCAUCGCUGUUGUGUAGAAUCUCUGAUAAUGGGGCGUCGCUGACGACUGUAAUGGAAUGAUCAGAGAAAUAAUGAGCAACCUUCUUCGUGGUCAUAUAAAUCCCAUAUACAAGCUUCUGAUAAUGAGGGUAUCUUUGCUUCAGUGGGGUCAACACUUCGGAAAGAUAAUAUACUGGGCGCUGAACUUUGAAGGCUUUCCCUUCUUCUUCCCGCUCGACCGUAAGUACUGUACUGACGACUUAUCCUGUGGCUGCAAUGUAAAGCAGCAAAGGCUCUUUGCUGAUUGGAGCAGCAAGCACCGGCUGGGUGGAGAGCAGAGCUUUUAGCUCUACAAACACUGCAUCAGCUUCUGGAGUCCACUCGAACUUGUCUGACUUCUUCAUCAGUCGGUAAAGAGGCAAUGCCUUUUCACCGAGACGAGAGAUGAAUCGACUUAAAGCGGCCAAGCAUCCAGUAAGCUUCUGGACAUCGUGCACACGCACGGGGCGUUUCAUUCAGAGUAUAGUGCCAACUUUUUCUGGGUUGGCAUCGAUUCCUCGUUCGGAAACGAGAAAACCGAGUAACUUUCUGCCAGGAACUCCGAAUGUGCACUUUGAUGGAUUAAGCUUGAUAUCAUACCUCCUGAGAUUGGCAAAUGUUUCAGUGAGGUCAGUCAACAGGUCGGAACCCUUCCGUGAUUUGACCACAAUAUCAUCCAUGUAUGCUUCCAUAUUCCGACUGAUUUGAGUGAGUAAACACUUCUGAAUCAUCCUCAUGAACAUGGCUCCGGCAUUCUUGAGGCUGAAUGGCAUGGUGACAUAGCAGAAGCACCCGAAUGGAGUGAUGAAAGCUGUUUUGAUCUCGUCGGGUCCAUACAGACGGAUCUGAUGGUAACCGAAAUAGGCGUCUAAAAAAGACAGGCGCUCACAUCCCGCAGUCGAGUCGACUAUUUGGUCGAUGCGGGGGAGAGGAAAAUGAUCUUUCAGGAAGGCUCAAUUGAUAUGCUUGAAAUCAAUGCACAUGCGAAGUGACUUGUCCUUCUUGGGGACCAUGACAACAUUGGCGAGCCACUCGAAGUGGUAAAUCUCUCGGAUAAACUCUGCUGCCAGGAGCCGAGCCACCUCCUCGCCAAUGGCCUUUCUCUUCUGGAUGGCGGACCGUCGAAGAUGUUCUUUGACAAGUUUCACUUUUGAGUCGACUCGUAGACGAUGCUCAGCCAGCCCUCUGGGAACACUCGGCAUGUCAGUAGGCUUCCAUGCGAAGAUGUCCCAGUUCUCACGGAGGAACUGGAUGAGCGCUUCUUCCUAUUUAGAUUUGAGUGUUGUGGAGAUAUGAGUCGGAGCAGCACUGGGGUCGGUCGGGUGAAUGUGAACGGGCUUCGUCUCACCGAACGACUGGAACGCUGACUCCGUGGCAGGCUUCUUGGCACGCAAUAAAUCACUCGGAUCUGCAGUUUUCUGGUAUUCCUGCAGCUCCACCACUGUUAUCUGAGCAUCGGCGAUCUUUGAGCCCUUUUGAAAGCACUCUUCUGCCUUUUUCCGAUUGCCAAUAAUGGUGAUCACACCCUUGGGACCAGGCAUCUUCAAUUUGAGGUACAUGUAACAUGGUCAAGCCAUGAAUCGUGCAUAAGCUGGCCUGCCUAAAAUAGCGUGAUAAGCACUCUGGAAAUCCACAACUUCAAAUGUCAGCUUUUCUUUGCGGAAAUGCUUUGAAUCGCCGAAAACCACAUCAAGAGCAAUUUGGCCGAGUGACUCAGCCUUCUUCCCAGGAAUGACCCCGUGGAAACUCAUGUUGCUGGUACUGAGCCUGGACAUCGGAAUGCCCAUUCCCUUCAGCGUCUCCGCAUACAAUAUGUUCAGGCCACUGCCACCAUCCAUCAGAACCCUAGUCAGUCGAGUGCCUUCGACGACUGGGUCGACCACCAAAGCUUGCCUCCCAGGGGUGGCUAUGUGUGUCGGAUGAUCGGACUAGUCAAAUGUGAUGGCGGUCUGAGACCAUUUCAGAUAACUGGGUGUCGCCGGAGCAACCAUAUUCACCUCAUGGUUGAUAACUUUCAAUCGACUUUUGCUUUCAACAUCAGCAAAAAUCAUCAGGGUGGAAUUGACAUGGGGGUAUCCUCCAUCACUGUCCUCUUUGUCCUCAAUCUUGUCCGACUCCUUUUCCUUAUCUUUGGGCUGUUUUCCCUGAAAUUGCUGGAUCAAGAGCCGACACUGCCGAGUGGUAUGUUUCGGGUAAAUGAAGUUACCCUCCUCAUUUUUCUUCGUGUGGAUGUGGCACGUCAAAUCCAUCACGUCAUUUCCUUGUCCUUCACCUUCUUAGGGUUCCAAGAUCCUUUGGCUUCCCUUUAAAUUUGCCCUGAGUCACGGCCAAGGCUUCUCCAGGAGCAGCUGGCUUGGCUUUCCGCUUCUGCUUCCGACUGGAGUUUCCUCCCCUAGUUUCAUGAGCGGUUGGCUUGUACUUGCCACUCCGGAGUCGAUCCUCUUCUUCACCAUUGGCAUAUUUGGUGGCAAUCUCCAUCAUUCGACUCAGAGUCAUGUCUCCGGUCCGACCGAAUUUCAAACUUAGCUCCCUGUUCUUAACGCCUUCCUUGAAGGCACAGACUGCCUGGUGAUCAGAUACAUUCUCCAUCGUGUGAUGCAAUGUGAUCCACCUCUGGAUGUAAUCCCUCAGAGUCUCAUUCGACUUUUGCACAUAAACCUGCAGCUCUGUCAAUCCUGCUGGUCGCUUACAAGUUCCUUCAAAUGUUCUGACAAACACUCGGGCAAGAUCUUCCCAAGUGUAAAUGCUGCUAGGUGCCAACUGAUUCAGCCAUGCUCUGGCCGAGCCCUCCAACAUAAGAGGUAGGUGUUUCAUGGCCACCUCAUCAUUGCCGCCGCCAAUCUGAACAGCCACUCGGUAGUCCUCAAGCCAAGUAUCGGGCUUGGACUCACCAGUGAACUUACUAACUCCAGUCGCCAACCUGAAGUUGGGAGGAAUCACCGCGGCCCUGAUGGCUCUGCUAAAACACUCUGGUCCUGAGACAUGAACUCUGCUGCUGGUGGGCACAUCUCUGUCAUGGCCUUCUCGGUGAGCUCUGUUCCGGUCGACCAAACCUUGCAUGAUAAUGGAUCUCGCGUCAAAGCCUGGUUCUUUGGGGUCGACUGGAACCCUUCGCCCAACACUGUGCUGACGUCUGUCAUCUUGUUGUCGAGGAGCGUACGACCCACCCCUUGGGGGAGGAGUGGGCACUCGACGUUGAUCAUCGCGAUCAAAUCUGUCAUCAUACUGAUCACGCCGACCUCCACGUCCCUCACGCCUCGGGGGAGAUCUCGGGCUAUGGACCGACCGGACUGUAUUCGCAGUGACAAAUCUGAUGUGAAUCCGAUUUCGCGACUGCGAUACAACUGAAUUCUGAUCUCCUGCUGCCCUGAGCAAAUCUCUGAUCUACAUCAAGCCUCUGCCAGCCUCUGACUGGGAGGGCUGAAUCGACUAUACUAUACGGGCCAUAGCCGCUAGAUUCUGAAUCAGAGUUCGAUAUACAUGAUUCGGUGGCGGAAAGAGUUGACGUCGACUGGAGUCUGGAACUCGUUGCCGCGCGCGCUCAUCGAGUGCUCGCUAGAGGUUCUCCAGUCGAGUGCGUUCAGCCAAAUUGGCCAAACGCGCGUCCUCCAAGGCACGAGCCUCGGGGGUUUCUCCAACGAUUGGAGUAUGCAGCGCAUCCAUGUUCCGGCGGCGAAGAUCUUCUCUUUGCAGGGAAGUGAGUGGCUCGGGUUGAUACUCCUCGUGGUCCUGCGCUGGGUCGCCUCCGCCGUCCCCUUCGUUGGUGCGAGGGAAGCCGGAAGGACUGCGCGGUCCAUUGACCAUCAGGACCUCCGCCGCUGGAUCACUGCUGUCGCACUCGGAUGCAGUCUCUACGGAGCCAGUCGACAGAUCGAACAUGCCGUAGAGAGAUUCAUCGGGCUCGAUCACCACGACUUGGGGGUGGCCAACUGGCGGGCCACUCCGUGCCUCACCCACCACUGAAGUCUCAACCGACCGGAGUGCUUGCACUGGCAGGAGACAGGAAGGAAGGACGACGCAGGAGUCGACCGAUACAGGGUCGACGGUUGCCGCAGGAGGACGCCACGGACACACGCGCAAAAGUGCGUUGCCCCGCGGACUGGGAGUGCGUCGAUGUCGAGUGGAGCCUCCUGAAGCCAAGCGGAGUCGUCGGCGAUGAACGUGAGCGUGCCGAGACGGAUCUCGCGGCCCUCAACCAAAACUCCGCCAGAAACCAUGAUGAAGGUAAUCGGAACAAUUGCAACUUUUCCAAUAAGUCGCUAAGACACCUGCCCCAUGGUGGGCGCCAACUGUCGUGGUUCUAAGCCUGACAGUAGAAUAGAGGGUAGGUAUGGAGAGGCAAGAUCCUAGCUAUGGAGUAGUUGUAUACGCAAGAGAUUUACGAGUUUAGGCCCUUCUCGGAGGAAGUAACAGCCCUACGUCUCGCAGCCCGGAGGCGGUCGACUGGAUUAUAUGCGUAUGAGUUACAGGGGUGCGAACCCUUUACACUGAGGAGGGGGGUGGCUUAUAUAGAGUCUACCAGACCCCUCCGGCCCUCAGUUAUGCAGGGUUUAAAGUACAUUAAGGCAUGGCAUUACUGGUAACGCCCUACAUAGAGUGCUAUCAUGGCCAUAAAGACUACUUAAUAACAGACCGUUUGUGUGCAGAGUGACUCUAGAUCUCCUGGUGGUGGAGUGAGUGGCUUCAUGGUCGAGUGUCUUCGAGUCCGUCGAGUGGAAUCCUUCCAGGUCGACUGAAAGGUAGUUUCUUCUAGAGAUGUCCUUGGGGAGGGUACCUUGGACAGGUCCAUGACCCUAUCCUAAGUACAUGGCUUCAUCAGUUACUUUUGCACAGUAGCAUCAAUAUCAAGUGUAGCAAGUGCACUCCUGCUUGCUCUUCUCUGAACAAUCAUCUUUCCACCUGAAUGUGCUAUAUGAACACUUCCUUGUUAUUUGUAUACACCGUCGAGUCGAAUUGCCUAAUUUCUGAAUGUCUACAUGACCAUUCUUUGCUUCUGUCAAUGAAAAUCAGUGUUAGCAAUGUUCAGGUUGUUACUAAUGUGUUCUGAAAGUAAAAAUCCAUUUAGUGAGCGCAUUUGCUAGGAGUACAGUGUUACACAUGCCAAUGUUCAGUCUUAUCCUCUCCUCUUCUUAGAUAAUUUUAAUUAACUGGAAAUUAAACCUUUUCUUUUAGUUCAAUCUAAAUAAAACAUUCUUAGUUAACUAAACUCAAAUUAAACCUUUCUGUUAAUUAACCUUAAAUUAAACCUUUUUUGUUACUAAAUUAAACCUUUCGUGUUAAAAUUAAAUUAAACUUUCUAUUCCUCUCUCUUUUAUUCCACUCCUUUCCUCUCAUAUUCCUCUCCUAGUUCUUUCCUUUAAUAGCAACAACAACAACAAGUCCUUUUCUUUAAUUAAUUAAAACUAAAGGACUAUGGAUUAUGACACAUACUCUUCUCUAAUUCACUCCUCUCCUCUCCUACUACUCUCCUAUCAGAGAAUGAUCAUACAAAUGGAGUAGUAGAAAUAUACAAAUACAAAUGGAGUAUGGAGUAAAAAAAAUACAUGGAGUAAAAAUACUUGGAGUAAAAGUGCAAAAUUAAAUGGAGUUACACAUACAAGUGGAGUUAGACAUACUCCAACAUACUCCACACAAACAACAUACUCCAGCAUACUCAAAUAUGGAUUAUUACAGACAUGACAAGCAUCACUAGCAUCACAGCCUCAUCGCAAGCAACUAGCCUCGUCACUAGCAUCACAGCCUCAUCACUAGCAUCACAGCCUCAUCGCAAGCAUCACAAGCAUCAUCACUAGCAUCACAGCCUCAUCACUAGCAUCACGAGCAUCAUCACUAGCAUCACAACCUCAUCACUAGCAUCAGAGCCUCAUCGCAAGCAUCACAAGCAUCAUCACUAGCAUCAUGUCAAGCAUCUGAACAAGCCUCACGUCAAGCAUCUNNNNNNNNNNNNNNNNNNNNNNNNNNNNNNNNNNNNNNNNNNNNNNNNNNNNNNNNNNNNNNNNNNNNNNNNNNNNNNNNNNNNNNNNNNNNNNNNNNNNNNNNNNNNNNNNNNNNNNNNNNNNNNNNNNNNNNNNNNNNNNNNNNNNNNNNNNNNNNNNNNNNNNNNNNNNNNNNNNNNNNNNNNNNNNNNNNNNNNNNNNNNNNNNNNNNNNNNNNNNNNNNNNNNNNNNNNNNNNNNNNNNNNNNNNNNNNNNNNNNNNNNNNNNNNNNNNNNNNNNNNNNNNNNNNNNNNNNNNNNNNNNNNNNNNNNNNNNNNNAUCUCAAGCAUCUGAACAAGCCUCAUGUCAAGCAUCUGAACAAGCCUCAUCUCAAGCAACUGAACAAGCCUCAUCUCAAGCAUCUGAACAAGCCUCAUCUCACCUCAUCUCAAGCAUCUGAACAAGCCUCAUGUCAAGCAUCUGAACAAGCCUCAUCUCAAGCAUCUGAACAAGCCUCAUCUCAAGCAUCACAAGCAGCACAUGCCUCAUCACUGAACCCUCUCCAUUAGCCCUAAGUUGCGCAGGGCAUUUGCAUACACCUCUGGAGGGCAUGAUAAUCUUGGAGGUAGUUGUCCAAGCCCCUCAAGCCUUUCCUUGUUUACAUGGGGUAUUUUAUACCCAUUGCCCCCUGCAUGGAGGAUCUGAAUCAUGCACGUCUACAGAGUUAGGAAAAUUCUGUUGAGCUUGUAAACGUCAUAGCCUUAAAAUUCCUCCAAAACACCCUUAAUAAGGUCUUGUAGUGUUUUAGGACUCAGACAAUCUGUCAGGGAUUGGAGCGAGUUGAAAAACCCAAGGUCAAGCACAUUCAAAUCAGGACUGUUGGGAGGCUGUUGUAUUAUUCUGAUGUCAAGUCCAGUUUUUGCGACAGCUUCAAAAAAUUCCGGGUCAUCUGGCAAGAUAUGGGGCUUAGCAUUAUCCUGUUGAAUGUAGAUGGUCUGUCCAGCAUCACCUUUGGGCCAAACAGCUUGUAUUGCUGGCAAGACUUUCUCUAUUAGGAACUCCCUCAUCACUUUUCUGUCGACUUCUAUUGAUUCUGCCUCUAUUGUACCUCUGGGCUUAUUGUCGCUUCUCCUUUGAGGAGGAACUUCCUUCACGAAUGGCCAGAUAUCGAUUUUCCUAGAGAAGGUCACGUUUCCUUCACUGUCCCACCUCGGCCUAGCAACGGGCGUCAAGAACAUUACCUUGCCAAUACAGUUGCCAUGUAUAGGCCUCGUAGGCUCUUCCUGCCCAUCCAACAGAUAAUAUGUUUUAUUCUUCUUUGUCAUGUUAAACCACUUUUCGUCGAUAUGGACAACAUUAUGCAUAGUCUUGAACUUAGGCCUUGCAGUUGCUGUUGUUGCCUCAUCAAGCAUCGACAAACAAAAUUUCAUCCUAUCCUUUUUAUUCUGGUCCUUUAGAGCUGGCUUCACACAGUUUGUAUGCCUCCUUAUCAAGUUUAACAUGAACUUUCUAUGAAGUGUGGUAGGGCUACAUCCGAGUUGCCAGACAAGUGACCUAAUGGUAGACCUUUUGUUUAAUGGGAUCGUUAGGAUUUUUUCUAGGUUAAUGUCCUUAGGCUUUCUUCCAGAAUUUCCUUUUUUGAUUAGAAACAUCCACCUCUUUACCUUCGCUAAUUUGCUUCAUUGCUCUCCUCCAAAUUCUUUGUAUAUCCCAAACACCCACUCCAAAAAAAAUUGCAAUGUCUUGCUUAUCAGUUCCCAAAAAAGUGCCUCCUCUACUCAUACACAGUGUAUGCAUUGCUACAUAAGCAACAAAUUUUUGUUGGUCAUUGAGGGUUUUAUAUUUCCUAGCAACUUGCCCAACACCUGUACCAAGACAUACAACAGAGAAAUGAUUAAAUAAAAUGAUCAAGUGAUGACGUGAUGGAAUGAUCAAGUGAUGAAAUGAUCAACUGUAACUGUACCUGGAUUUUGAACAAUUUCAUCUCCUUCCAUUCCCUCUCCGGCAUCUCCUUCCAUAUCAUCUCCUACAUGUCCUUCCAUUUCAUUUUCUGCAUCUUCAUCCAUUUCAUCCACAUCUUCUGCAGGUGGAGUGAAGUUGAGGUCUGGGAGAUCCAUUUUCUCCUGAAGAUAUGAAUAUGUAAUAUGAAGUAGAAGUAGAAGUAGAAGUAGAAGUACAAGAAGAAGUACAUAUAAAUUCAGUCUGUUUACUGUCAAUUGCUGUCUGUUUACUGUCAAAGCAAGAGUUAGUUUCCUAGGUUAAUAGCCAUAAUUAGUUUUCUGUAUCUUAAUUAUCUCUAAACAUUUUGCCUGAAAACUGAAUGUACAAUGUUUCUGUAGAUAAUUUGAUCGAAAAGGGACGGCAUGCUGAGGUGUACAAAGGACAGCUUGCCGAUGGACAGUUUGUGGCAGUGAAGAGGUUAACAAAAAUACUUAACCAAGCAUGCUGAGGUGAGCAGAGUAGAGACUGUCUACAAUCAUGAUCUAGAGUAGCAUGGAGUAAAAUGUUUGCAAGAGUACAAUUACAGGCAUGAGUACAAUGAAUUAACCAAUUGUUGUCAGUUGAAACUUAAAGUUCAGACAUGAAGUAGUCUUAGAGACCCAUGUACUCCUUAUAUUCAUGUGUACAGUAAGAAGCAGAUAGUGCACUUUGCCAGCUGCUCUUUUCUUUGCUUUUACCCUAGGAUAACACACUAAGAUCAGUACUGUACAUUAUUUUGUUUGACAGGAGUACAUUAUCUACAUUAUUCUGUUUGAGGAGUACAGUAUAUGUGUAAUGCAUGAAGACCCUUAAGCCCUCUCUGACAGGAAGAUCUUUCAUUGGCACAAAAGGGGUACCAUGAGAAAAUAAAUAUUUGUUUAUUCAGCCCUCUUUUCUCUCUAUCUCUAGUUCUUCAGUUUUCUGUGUCUUUAGAAUUUUUGUUUUCAGUGUUUCUGUAGUCUAGUCUUCAGUUUUCAGUACCUUUCUACUCCUAAUAAUCAUUAGUGUUUUUAGUGCAGGAGUAUAAUUUUGUUUCAGUCAUUAGUGUUUUAGUUUUCAUUACCUAAUAAUCGGACCUUAGCUCGUUCUCUUUAAUCAGUACCCGUGCUAGUAUUUUCUUAGUAUGUGAGCUUGCAUCAUUGUUCAGUCACACUAAAUUUUGUCAAGUCUGCAUAGCUAGUUAUUCAGUUCUUGGUUUCUUUUUAGUUUUUCAAUUGUGAUCCUUCCUCACCUAAGUUCUUCACUUUGUGUCUUAGUUUGUGAGCUUCCAUCAUUGUUCUGUCUACUAGUCUAUCAGUCUAAGUCCCUAGUGCUUACUCACUCUGUCAUUUUCCAGUAAGUCCCUGCUCAUUUUAAGGUGUUCCUCAACUGAUUUUGCACUCAACUGUUUCAGUAUCAUUGUCUUUGGCGACGUUGAUCCUUCUUCACGUAUGCUGGUUGUUGCAUUUGAAUUCAGGUUAGUUUGCCAAAGGAAAGUUUCAGUCAUUCUUCCCUGUGAACAAGAGCAUGAUCGAUGCGAGUGUGAUUCGCUGUUUAUUCACGACAGUCGUUUUACAAUAGUUUGUGCAUCAUGCUCUUGUUCACGUGGUCAGGUUUUCUUGUAAUUUUGCUUGCUGUAGAUAUACUCCAAAGCAAAAGAAAUCUGAAGCUAAGCUAGCUAGCAACGGUGGUGACUGCUAUGCUUUUAGUCUGUUCUUUGUUGAGAAUUUUCAUGCAAUAUGCCUGUUUCAUCACAUGACAUUUGACUAUGAAUGAACUUAGGUAACGCCGUUGAAGUUGGUAUCUUGCUUGUUUCCAAGUCUUGCGGUUGUACAUGAUGGUUUCAUCAGAUGGAUGUGAACUGAAUGUAUGUCCAGUUUACACCGAUGUAACCUGAUUCUGAAGAAAAGAAUGCCACAUACAGAUGGCGUCGACCUUGGCCUCCUCGUCGAUCUGACUCUGCAUUAAGAAAACUUGUUGGCAUCAAGUGUCCCCCUUCCUCCACCGGUAGCCUUCCAUCGAAUUCACAUCAGAACACUUCAUUCAUUCACCCAGAAAAAAUAACUGACAUUGCCAACAUCUCACAAGAAAGAAGAGAGCAGAGUUGAAGUUGCCAGCCAGCCUGUUUACUUGCAGCUACACCAGUGUUCUUCUUCUUCUUCUUCGCAGAAUCAAUCGGGUUUACUUGCAGCCUUACUCACUUUGUGUCUUAGUUAAUCAAAUUCCUCAAUUGAGGAACACCUGGAAUUGUCAUUCCGGUCUUGGGAUCAAUAGUAGCAUAUGGACUUAUCAUUCUGGUUUUUGGAUGAUUUAGUUAAUCAAAUUGACAUCAAUUGACCUGUUUUUAAGAUCAAUUGCAGAUUCUCUUGAUUGGAGUGG